RNAcentral lists this ribosomal RNA (1851 nucleotides) under Triticum aestivum (bread wheat). RNAcentral's name for it is "partial small subunit ribosomal RNA". Lineage: Eukaryota; Viridiplantae; Streptophyta; Magnoliopsida; Poales; Poaceae. The record is from RNAcentral.
AUGGCCAUGGCGGCCGCCGAGGCCUCCGACCACGCGGCGCCGUCCAGGGUCCCGCUCCCGGCCACCCGGCAGGAGGUCCAGGCCGCCGUCGCCAAGGCCGUCGAGCUGCGCGCGCUCCACGCCGCCCUCCGCCAGCGCGCCGCACCGCCCAAUGCCGGCGCCCGCGCCAGCGCCAGCCGCAGCCCGGCCACCAUCCGCCUCCCGCCGGCCGCGUCCCCCGCGCGCUCCCGGACCACGGUCACCGCCGCCGUAGACGAGGACUACCCCGUGUUUACUCCGACUUACGACGAGGAGCCCAUGGCGAUGGCGGCUGGACUCAACGACAUCUGCCAUGACAAUCGGAGCCGGUCCGAGAACUGGGGCGGCAUCACCUUGGACCGCGGCGGCGUCGGCGACGAGGCGGCCUACUCGGACUACGACGACUGCAUCAACGGCUUCUCCUCCUGCAACAGCGACUUCCACUACGCCAGCGAGAAUCACCUCCGGAGCAGAGGCGUGAACCGGAUCCAUCCGGCCUUUCUGCAGUCCGCGCCGCUUGCCGGCCGUUUCCCGGCGUCGGCCGGGAGAGUGGCAGAGUUCAAGGUGCCGUCCUCGUCCGGCGGCGCAUUCCGGCCGGCGACGAUCGGCAGGGACAACGGUGGGAGCGACGCCGAAGCCCUGAGAUUCCUCGGCAGCAGCAACAGGGUGCCAUUCUCGUCCAGCAACCAGCCCCCGCCAUCGGCGCACUCCCGGGCAAAGCAGAGAGGGUCGCAGAUCCUCUCAUGGCUCUUCGCCAAGGCGAAGAAGAAGGCAAAGCCGGAGACACCGCCGCCGACCGCCGCCGUCAUCGAGCGCGGGAACAUGUCACAGCUCCUCAAGGAGUGGGGGCUGCUGUCGCUAGACUCCCUCAGGAAGGAGCUCGCGGAGGCCAACGCGCACCGGGACGCCGCGCAGGAGGACGCCGCCGAGAUGAGGUCGUCGCUGGGCGAGCUGACCACCAAGAUGAUGAGCCUGGAAGCCUACUGCUCGGAGCUCAAGAAGGCCCUGCGGCAAGCGACGGACCACAGCGGCGGCACCGACACGCAGUCCCACUCGCGGCGGUCGUCGUCGAGGUCGAUCGGGGCGAGCCGAGAGCUGCCGGGCAACGGCAUGCCGGUGAGCCACGAGGCCAUGGUGGAAGGGUUCCUGCAGAUCGCCUCCGAGGCGCGCCUCUCCGUGAAGCAGCUCUGCAAGGCGCUGAUCCAGCAGGUGGAGGAGCCGGACAACGGGCUGUCAGACAAGCUGAACCAGCUGCUCCGGCCGCACCAGCUCGCCAUCGCCGGCCGGCACUGCUCCAAGGCCGUGCUGUACCACCUGGAGGCGAUCAUGAACCAGACUCUCUACCAGGACUUCGAGAACCCGAGCUUCCAGCGGAACGGCGCGGCGAGGCACCUGGACCCGGGGCAGGGCCGGCGGGAGAGCUUCGCGUCCUUCGUGGCGCUGCGCAACCUGAGCUGGAGCGAGGUGCUGCGGAAGGGCACCAGGUACUACAGCGAGGACCUCAGCCGGUUCUGCGACCAGAAGAUGAGCUGCGUGGUGGCCGCGCUGAGCUGGUCGUGGCCGUGGCCGGAGCAGCUGCUGCAGUGCUUCUUCGUCGCCACCAAGUGCGUCUGGCUGCUCCACCUGCUCGCCUUCUCCUUCGCGCCGCCGCUGCCCAUCCUGCGGGUCGAGGACGGCCGGGCGUUCGACCAGGCGUACAUGGAGGACAUCCUGCCGGACCGGCGGCAGGUCCAGGAUCCGUUGAGGGUGAAGGUCAUGGUGAUGCCGGGGUUCUAUGUCCAAGAUCGAGUGCUCAAGUGCAAGGUCCUCACAACAAAACAGCUAGACCAGUAG